Molecule: ribosomal RNA, 483 nt
Filed under: uncultured bacterium
Lineage: Bacteria
Description: partial 16S ribosomal RNA
Rfam family: Bacterial small subunit ribosomal RNA
Source: RNAcentral
GACGAACGCUGGCGGCGUGCUUAACACAUGCAAGUCGAACGCUGAAGCUCAGCUUUUGUUGGGUGGAUGAGUGGCGAACGGGUGAGUAACACGUGAGUAACCUGCCCCCUUCUUUGGGAUAACGCCCGGAAACGGGUGCUAAUACUGGAUAUUCACUGGUCUUCGCAUGGGGGCUGGGGGAAAGGGUUUUUCUGGUGGGGGAUGGGCUCGCGGCCUAUCAGCUUGUUGGUGGGGUGAUGGCCUACCAAGGCUUUGACGGGUAGCCGGCCUGAGAGGGUGACCGGUCACAUUGGGACUGAGAUACGGCCCAGACUCCUACGGGAGGCAGCAGUGGGGAAUAUUGCACAAUGGGCGCAAGCCUGAUGCAGCGACGCCGCGUGAGGGAUGGAGGCCUUCGGGUUGUGAACCUCUUUCGCUCAUGGUCAAGCCGCAACAAUGGUUGUGGUGAGGGUAGUGGGUAAAGAAGCGCCGGCUAACUACGUG